This 254-nucleotide ribosomal RNA is filed under the name uncultured bacterium. RNAcentral's name for it is "partial 16S ribosomal RNA". It matches the Rfam family "Bacterial small subunit ribosomal RNA", at positions 524 to 776 of the family's 1533-position model. The record is from RNAcentral.
UACGGAGGGUGCGAGCGUUGUCCGGAAUCACUGGGCGUAAAGGGCGCGUAGGUGGCCCGUGGAAGUCUGCGGUGAAAGCCCGGCGCUCAACGCCGGGUCGGUCGUGGAUACUCUCGGGCUUGAGCUUACUAGAGGCAGAUGGAAUUCCGGGUGUAGCGGUGGAAUGCGUAGAGAUCCGGAAGAACACCGGUGGCGAAGGCGGUCUGCUGGGGUAAUGCUGACACUGAUGCGCGACAGCGUGGGGAGCAAACAGG